AUGCGGUCUCACCUUCACGUUGAAGGUGGGCUACAUCCCUGGGUACGACCCUUCUUUUUUCUCGAAGUGGUGAUGGAGACGAGUGACAGCUGGCCCAUCCUUGUCAUCGGAGUCUGCGGAGCAUUGGAAGGGACAGUCACAAUGGGGAGCGGCAGGUCACAAUGGGGGAGGCGCCGCCAGGACGCAGCCGGCCGGGCCUGCACUUUCCCAGGAAGGGCAACCCCGGUGCCUGUCCCCGAGAGCCCAGCAGCCCGGCCCUUGGUCGGAGGAGCAAAGCCGGGAGAGCCGCCGAGGGCGACGCGCUGGAAGCUGGCACUCACCGCUUCCUGGUGGAGAAGUGCGAUGCACUGUGACAGGAGCACCCACUUUCACGUUGUGUGAGGCGUUGACUGAUUUGCAUUACUGGGACUACAAAGACGUGAUCCGUGUGUUGCUGUCUCACGGCGCUGAACCUCAGCCAGAGAUAACAGCGUGAGCCUCUGUUGGUACUUUAUUCAAUAGGGUCUGUUUAUAACUUCAGCGGAGGCUGUGUUUUCAUUUUAAAAUGGCUGGAAUCUAAUUUAUUUGGAAGAAUUAGGAUACACUUUCCCCUUAGAACUGUCAGGCCACACAAGGAAUAAAAUGGAGCUUGACAGCA
Molecule: long non-coding RNA, 637 nt
Filed under: Vulpes vulpes (red fox)
Lineage: Eukaryota; Metazoa; Chordata; Mammalia; Carnivora; Canidae
Description: lncRNA (ENSVVUG00000022371.1)
Source: RNAcentral